UGAUUAUGACGUACUUGUACUGAUUGAGAUUUUAACACGAAGUGAGUGGCGAACGGGUGAGUAACACGUGGGUAACCUGCCCAGAAGUAGGGGAUAACACCUGGAAACAGAUGCUAAUACCGUAUAACAGAGAAAACCGCAUGGUUUUCUUUUAAAAGAUGGCUCUGCUAUCACUUCUGGAUGGACCCGCGGCGUAUUAGCUAGUUGGUGAGGUAAAGGCUCACCAAGGCAGUGAUACGUAGCCGACCUGAGAGGGUAAUCGGCCACAUUGGGACUGAGACACGGCCCAGACUCCUACGGGAGGCAGCAGUAGGGAAUCUUCCACAAUGGACGCAAGUCUGAUGGAGCAACGCCGCGUGAGUGAAGAAGGGUUUCGGCUCGUAAAGCUCUGUUGUUAAAGAAGAACGUGGGUAAGAGUAACUGUUUACCCAGUGACGGUAUUUAACCAGAAAGCCACGGCUAACUACGUGCCAGCAGCCGCGGUAAUACGUAGGUGGCAAGCGUUAUCCGGAUUUAUUGGGCGUAAAGCGAGCGCAGGCGGUCUUUUAAGUCUAAUGUGAAAGCCUUCGGCUCAACCGAAGAAGUGCAUUGGAAACUGGG
This 600-nucleotide ribosomal RNA is filed under the name Pediococcus pentosaceus. RNAcentral's name for it is "bacterial SSU rRNA". It matches the Rfam family "Bacterial small subunit ribosomal RNA", at positions 45 to 637 of the family's 1533-position model. The record is from RNAcentral. Lineage: Bacteria; Bacillati; Bacillota; Bacilli; Lactobacillales; Lactobacillaceae.